RNAcentral lists this ribosomal RNA (109 nucleotides) under Gorilla gorilla gorilla (western lowland gorilla). Lineage: Eukaryota; Metazoa; Chordata; Mammalia; Primates; Hominidae. The record is from RNAcentral.
CCCAGGGGCCAUAGCAGCCUCAGGGCACCCCAGUCUGUAAGAAAAGCAGGGCUGGGCCUGGCUGGGUCUUGGAUAGGGGACCCCCUGUGAAGACCAGGGGCUGAAGGCU